RNAcentral lists this non-coding RNA (29 nucleotides) under Mus musculus (house mouse). The record is from RNAcentral. Lineage: Eukaryota; Metazoa; Chordata; Mammalia; Rodentia; Muridae.
UCAUGUUCUCACUGCAGUGCAGUCCGGUC